This is a transfer RNA of Prochlorococcus marinus subsp. marinus str. CCMP1375, 72 nucleotides long. It matches the Rfam family "tRNA". Rfam says of the family: Transfer RNA (tRNA) molecules are approximately 80 nucleotides in length. Their secondary structure includes four short double-helical elements and three loops (D, anti-codon, and T loops). Lineage: Bacteria; Bacillati; Cyanobacteriota; Cyanophyceae; Synechococcales; Prochlorococcaceae. The record is from Rfam.
GCCGGUGUAGCUCAGGGGUAGAGCAACUGAUUCGUAACCAGUAGGCCAGCGGUUCAAUUCCGCUCACCGGCA